Molecule: ribosomal RNA, 373 nt
Filed under: uncultured organism
Description: partial 16S ribosomal RNA
Rfam family: Bacterial small subunit ribosomal RNA
Source: RNAcentral
GUAGGUGGCAAGCGUUGUCCGGAAUUAUUGGGCGUAAAGCGCGCGCAGGCGGUUCUUUAAGUCUGAUGUGAAAGCCCACGGCUCAACCGUGGAGGGUCAUUGGAAACUGGAGAACUUGAGUACAGAAGAGGAAAGCGGAAUCCCACGUGUAGCGGUGAAAUGCGUAGAGAUGUGGAGGAACACCAGUGGCGAAGGCGGCUUUCUGGUCUGUAACUGACGCUGAGGCGCGAAAGCGUGGGGAGCAAACAGGGAUUAGAUACCCUGGUAGUCCACGCCGUAAACGAUGAGUGCUAAGUGUUAGGGGGGUUUCCGCCCCCUUAGUGCUGCAGCUAACGCAUUAAGCACUCCGCCUGGGGAUACGGCCGCAAGGCUG